GACAGAGGGUGCAAACGUUGUUCGGAAUUACUGGGCGUAAAGCGAGUGUAGGCGGUUCGGUAAGUCGGAUGUGAAAGCCCCGGGCUCAACCCGGGAAGUGCACUCGAUACUGCCGAGCUAGAGUAUCGGAGAGGUUGGUGGAAUUCUCGGUGUAGAGGUGAAAUUCGUAGAUAUCGAGAGGAACACCUGCGGCGAAGGCGGGUUGCUGGGCUGAUACUGACGCUGAGGCGCGAAAGCCAGGGGAGCGAACGGG
Molecule: ribosomal RNA, 253 nt
Filed under: uncultured bacterium
Lineage: Bacteria
Description: partial 16S ribosomal RNA
Rfam family: Bacterial small subunit ribosomal RNA
Source: RNAcentral